UCAUGCAACGUCGAGCGGAUGAAAGGAGCUUGCUCCUGGAUUCAGCGGCGGACGGGUGAGUAAUGCCUAGGAAUCUGCCUGGUAGUGGGGGACAACGUUUCGAAAGGAACGCUAAUACCGCAUACGUCCUACGGGAGAAAGCAGGGGACCUUCGGGCCUUGCGCUAUUAGAUGAGCCUAGGUCGGAUUAGCUAGUUGGUGAGGUAAUGGCUCACCAAGGCGACGAUCCGUAACUGGUCUGAGAGGAUGAUCAGUCACACUGGAACUGAGACACGGUCCAGACUCCUACGGGAGGCAGCAGUGGGGAAUAUUGGACAAUGGGCGAAAGCCUGAUCCAGCCAUGCCGCGUGUGUGAAGAAGGUCUUCGGAUUGUAAAGCACUUUAAGUUGGGAGGAAGGGUUGUAGAUUAAUACUCUGCAAUUUUGACGUUACCGACAGAAUAAGCACCGGCUAACUCUGUGCCAGCAGCCGCGGUAAUACAGAGGGUGCAAGCGUUAAUCGGAAUUACUGGGCGUAAAGCGCGCGUAGGUGGUUCGUUAAGUUGGAUGUGAAAUCCCCGGGCUCAACCUGGGAACUGCAUCCAAAACUGGCGAGCUAGAGUAUGGUAGAGGGUGGGGGGGAAUUUCCUGUGUAGCGGUGAAAUGCGUAGAUAUAGGAAGGAACACCAGUGGCGAAGGCGACCACCUGGACUGAUACUGACACUGAGGUGCGAAAGCGUGGGGAGCAAACAGGAUUAGAUACCCUGGUAGUCCACGCCGUAAACGAUGUCAACUAGCCGUUGGGAGCCUUGAGCUCUUAGUGGCGCAGCUAACGCAUUAAGUUGACCGCCUGGGGGAGUACGGCCGCAAGGUUAAAACUCAAAUGAAUUGACGGGGGCCCGCACAAGCGGUGGAAGCAUGUGGUUUAAUUCGAAAGCAACGCGAAAGAACCUUACCAGGCCUUGACAUCCAAUGAACUUUCCAGAGAUGGAUUGGUGCCUUCGGGAACAUUGAGACAGGUGCUGCAUGGCUGUCGUCAGCUCGUGUCGUGAGAUGUUGGGGUUAAGUCCCCGUAACCGAGCGCAACCCCUUGUCCCUUAGUUUACCAGCCACGUUUAUGGGUGGGGCACUUCUAAGGAAGACUGGCCGGGUGACAAACCCGGAAGGAAAAGGUGGGGGAAUGAACGUCCAAGUUCAUCCAUGGGCCCCUUUACCGGCCCUGGGGCUA
RNAcentral lists this ribosomal RNA (1205 nucleotides) under Pseudomonas sp. RNAcentral describes it as "bacterial SSU rRNA". It matches the Rfam family "Bacterial small subunit ribosomal RNA", at positions 53 to 1216 of the family's 1533-position model. Lineage: Bacteria; Pseudomonadati; Pseudomonadota; Gammaproteobacteria; Pseudomonadales; Pseudomonadaceae. The record is from RNAcentral.